UACAGAGGGUGCGAGCGUUGUUCGGAAUUAUUGGGCGUAAAGCGCAUGUAGGCGGUCUGUUAAGUCGCGUGUGAAAUCCCCGGGCUUAACCUGGGAACUGCGCUUGUAACUGGCAAGCUUGAGUGUGGCAGAGGGGGGUGGAAUUCCACGUGUAGCAGUGAAAUGCGUAGAGAUGUGGAGGAACACCGAUGGCGAAGGCAGCCCCCUGGGCUAACACUGACGCUCAUGCACGAAAGCGUGGGGAGCAAACAGG
RNAcentral lists this ribosomal RNA (253 nucleotides) under uncultured bacterium. RNAcentral describes it as "partial 16S ribosomal RNA". It matches the Rfam family "Bacterial small subunit ribosomal RNA", at positions 524 to 776 of the family's 1533-position model. The record is from RNAcentral.